RNAcentral lists this ribosomal RNA (479 nucleotides) under uncultured bacterium. Its description in RNAcentral is "partial 16S ribosomal RNA". It matches the Rfam family "Bacterial small subunit ribosomal RNA", at positions 28 to 507 of the family's 1533-position model. The record is from RNAcentral.
GAUGAACGCUAGCGGGAGGCCUAACACAUGCAAGCCGAGCGGUAUUUGUUCUUCGGAACAGAGAGAGCGGCGCACGGGUGCGGAACACGUGUGCAACCUGCCUUUAUCUGGGGGAUAGCCUUUCGAAAGGAAGAUUAAUACCCCAUAAUAUAUUGAGUGGCAUCAUUUGAUAUUGAAAACUCCGGUGGAUAGAGAUGGGCACGCGCAAGAUUAGAUAGUUGGUGAGGUAACGGCUCACCAAGUCAAUGAUCUUUAGGGGGCCUGAGAGGGUGAUCCCCCACACUGGUACUGAGACACGGACCAGACUCCUACGGGAGGCAGCAGUGAGGAAUAUUGGACAAUGGGGUAGCGCCUGAUCCAGCCAUCCCGCGUGAAGGACGACGGCCCUAGGGGUUGUAAACUUCUUUUGUAUAGGGAUAAACCUACUCUCGUGAGAGUAGCUGAAGGUACUAUACGAAUAAGCACCGGCUAACUCCGUG